AACAGUUUUUAAUCAUGACUCAAUCUGUGUGACACAAUCGGUUAUUUAUCAAACAAUUUCAUCUGAUUGUAUUUAACUGUUAUUUAUUUUUGUUCUUGGCUAUUCUCUAAAAGCUCAUUGGCUAAUCCUGACCCUUGUCGUGUUUUGAUUCCAUUUAAAAAUAGCAUUGGAUUAUCACAUAGAAACAGAACAGAGAUUUGAAAGCUCUUGUGAGAUGGAAGUCGUUACCUUUUGUCUUCGUCAAGCCUUCUCCUACGCGCCAGUGUUACACCAUUAAUGUUGCCAAUAUUAUUUAUUUUGCAAUCAACUAUUGAUUGAUUCAUGCUCGAAUCCAGCAUUGACUAAUCGUCCUUAGAUCAAUUUUUAUCAAUUGUUAAUUUAAAGCUUUUGUUGUUGAUAUUUAGAUUAAGAUAGCCUUAUCCCUGGCCUUACAUCGAUUGCAAUUACUGUCCAGUUGAUUUUAUUGACAUUGGAUGAUUCUUGAAAUUAAACAAUUGUUUUCGAGACUAUGGUAAAAUUGAAAGUGGAUUCAAAAAUAGAAUUAUCAACUUGUGAGUGUUCAAAUCAAAGCUGAUUAAACAUGAUGAAUAAUAAUUCUGUUUACUUCGUGAAAACUUCGUCUACUAUGAAAAUGGGACACAUGAAUAUGACAUAAUCAGGACAAAUGCCAUUUUUGAAAUGUUUCUAUUAUACAAUCCAUUGUUGAGAUAUCUAUAAGGCACAUCUCAAAAAAGUAUCGCAUUUGCAGUCGCAAGUUAUGAAUAUCUGAAAUUUUGGCCAUCAAUCUAUAAUGAUAGUCUGAGGCAACACCCGGUGAUUUACAAUUCAUUUCCAAAUAUCGUCGUAAAAUGUAAAUGUAAAUCUGGAUUGAAGAGAAUAAUCAAGCAAAGAAGAGCGUAAACAUUUGGAUCUCUCCGCCAUCGAUCUGGAAAAGUCUCAAUAAUACGAACAAGGCCAUUGUGCAAAGAAGCAUCCAUAUAAAAAACAUCUCUUCUAUUAAUCCGGACACCUGAACACUUGAAAGCAUAUAUUUGAUGGAGUUAAUAAUUAGCAAAUAAUGUAUUUUGAAAAGAUUUGCAUCUAAUUUGAAACAGAAGUGAUUAUUUGAA
Tetranychus urticae (two-spotted spider mite) is the source of this 1109-nucleotide long non-coding RNA. RefSeq lists it as uncharacterized. Lineage: Eukaryota; Metazoa; Arthropoda; Arachnida; Trombidiformes; Tetranychidae. The record is from RefSeq and is a predicted model, not a curated record.